UAAAUUCCAUGGAUUUUUAGAAAUGAUUUCACGAUAGUAGGAGCGAGUACGAAGCUUGGAGAAGUUGUGGAAUUAGUUCGAACGAUUUUAUUUUCGAAAACGAACGUUUUUAGGGGGUCAACAAAGUUGACUUUUUAUACGUUCAAAAUUUGGGAAAACUUCCUUCAUGAAAGUUGUAGAGCUCGUCGAUACGAGUUCGUGGACAUGUGGAACGCAUUAUUCGGAGUUCGUAUGAUUAAGUUAUGAAUAUUUGAAAAUUGGGAAUUUUCUAUAAAUAGGAAAAAUAACUGAUUUUUUUUAUUUAAGGACAAAAAAAAUUUCUUUUUGCGGAAGAGCCCCCAGCCCUCCCCGAUUCUCUCUCUCUGUUUUCCCCUCAGACCCGGCGGGUCGAGCUCGACCCGACCCGACUUUUUCACCCUCCUCCGGCCUCCUCUGGCCACGGACCCGGCCUUCCCCGAGCUCGCCGUCGCACGCCCAGCCGUUACCUGCCACCAUCUUGCCCCGCCGCUGCCCCCAGAUGGAGAUCGAAGACGCCCCAGCCGUGUGAACCCGACCCGACCGGAAAACGACUUUUCCGGCGUUGCAUGGGCCGAUCGUCCCCAUUUUCGUGAUCUCCUCCUCAUGCUGAUCAUCCCCAUACGCACGAGAUUAAUCCAACUUCAACGCUUGAUUUAGGACGAUCUAGGCCGAACCAGGCUUAGCUCCAGGUGAUCGAUGGAUUUAUUUGGCGGACGAUUCGUGAGAUUGUUAAUGGAGCUGUUAAGAAGACGCAGCUGGAAUAGAG
Rosa rugosa (rugosa rose) is the source of this 784-nucleotide long non-coding RNA. RefSeq lists it as uncharacterized. The transcript is spliced from 3 exons. The record is from RefSeq and is a predicted model, not a curated record. NCBI's taxonomy places the organism in Eukaryota, Viridiplantae, Streptophyta, Magnoliopsida, Rosales, Rosaceae.